AGGCAGUAUUGUCUGAUCAGAAACAGGCAGCCCUCGGAGAUGCUAACUGGGCUGCAAGAGGACUGAGAAAUGCUCUGAGUUUACCAUCUUUCCACCUGGCUUCUUCACAGACUUCAACAUCAGUUACUGACAGAGCCGUGGGGACAGCGCAAGUAAGGAGACAGACGGGAGGCAGUGGAACUCUCUGGAAGAGAAGAGUCUCAGAACACCGCAGCUGCUCUCCAUCUGCCAGCAGACAAGUGAUGCCACUCCCUAAUAACAGCACAGCCAUCGCUCCCCAGAGACCUUCUCUUGGCACUCUCCAUGACCAUAAAGCAAAACACAUGCAGAGACUGAACUGGAACAAGAGAAGGGCGCAGGGCAGGGAUGGACACUACUGAAACAAACCACGAGGGACCAAGACCCACACUCUGAAGCACAGGGACAGCAAGAGCCACGAGCUGCCUGGGAAGAAGAAGACCGUCCAAGACAUGUCUGAGCAAAUCCCACAGCAUCAAGUCAUCCAGAACAGGGCUCACAGCAUCGAGAAUGAUGCAGGACGGGUGCACGCGCGCACACGCGCGCGCACACGCGCGCGCACACCCAACCUACAGGUCAGAACAAUUACAUUCACGCUCAGGCCUACACUAACGAACCUAUCAAGAAGAUAAAAAAAACCUGUCAGGAACGGAGGCUGCACACUGUGCACAUUCAACAGCUGAUCUUUCUAUGGAAUACUACACUUUGGGCUAAAAUAUGGCACCAAAGAACUGUGGCUUCUGUUUGCAGUUUUGCUGACUAAAAUCAGACACAGGAUGGGAAAAAGAAGCAGCUGACCACCUUAUAACCUUUACCAAACCAAACCAAACCAAAACAACCUGAGCCUGAGGAGACAUCUCAGUAAAGUGACCUCACUUAAGAUUAACAUACUUGAGUUCUUGGAGAAACAGACCGUAAGAUCUUGAGAUAAUGAGAAACGAACUCUUGAGGCUCUUGCUCUUUUCAAUGGUAUUUGAGUUUUUUUGGCUAUCAUAAAAUUGUCAAGGCAGCAGGAAAAAAUACCGGAAGCAGUCAGAAGCUAAGCAACUGAGGAGCAGCCUACGGAAGAGGAAACCCACUCUCUACCUCUAGAUGAGCACGGGACACUAAGACCGACAAUUCACUGUGGACACACAGACCCUGAAGGAGCCGGGGAGAGGAAAGAGUAUGAUCGAAAUAUACUGUAUGAAAAAUCAAGUUAACAUCUG
This is a non-coding RNA of Peromyscus maniculatus bairdii (prairie deer mouse), 1226 nucleotides long. The record is from RefSeq and is a predicted model, not a curated record. NCBI's taxonomy places the organism in Eukaryota, Metazoa, Chordata, Mammalia, Rodentia, Cricetidae.